Molecule: ribosomal RNA, 405 nt
Filed under: uncultured bacterium
Lineage: Bacteria
Description: partial 16S ribosomal RNA
Rfam family: Bacterial small subunit ribosomal RNA
Source: RNAcentral
GACGAACGCUGGCGGCGUGCUUAACACAUGCAAGUCGAGCGGAGCGGCGAACGGGUGAGUAACGCGUGAGUAAUUGCCCCCCUCUCUGGGAUACCAGUUGGAAACGGCCGCUAAUACCGGAUAGUGGGGGAUGACUCGCGUCCUAUCAGCUUGUUGGUGGGGUAGUGGCCUACCAAGGCGACGACGUGUAGCCGGCCUGAGAGGGCGACCGGCCACAUUGGGCUGAGAUACGGCCCAAACUCCGACGGGAGGCAGCAGUGGGGGAGAUUGCACAAUGGGGGAAACCCUGAUGCAGCAACGCCGCGUGCGGGAUGACGGCCUUCGGGUUGUAAACCGCUUUCGGCCAUGACGCGCUAGUGGCCUUAGAAGCGCCGGCUAACUACGUGCCAGCAGCCGCGGUAAUAC